This 249-nucleotide ribosomal RNA is filed under the name Triticum aestivum (bread wheat). Its description in RNAcentral is "partial small subunit ribosomal RNA". Lineage: Eukaryota; Viridiplantae; Streptophyta; Magnoliopsida; Poales; Poaceae. The record is from RNAcentral.
AUGACGCGCACCAGAGACAACACCGCAGUUCUGUGCUUGAUGGCUCUCCUGGCCAUGUCUACCACCAUCAUUUCCUGCCAUGCAGCAGGUACCACCAAGAUGUGUGUACAGGCGAAAACCUGCGCGCCCACGCCGCCACCAAACUACGACGGAGUGUGCAAGCUUUACUGCAGAACUCAGGGUUACGACAUGGAUGCAAGCUAUUGCACGGCAGAGCAUGGUGGCACGUGCUGCUGCGUGAGGAAAUAA